AGGUUCGAAUCCUGUUCGUGACG
RNAcentral lists this non-coding RNA (23 nucleotides) under Cricetulus griseus (Chinese hamster). The record is from RNAcentral. Lineage: Eukaryota; Metazoa; Chordata; Mammalia; Rodentia; Cricetidae.